Molecule: ribosomal RNA, 2904 nt
Filed under: Escherichia coli
Lineage: Bacteria; Pseudomonadati; Pseudomonadota; Gammaproteobacteria; Enterobacterales; Enterobacteriaceae
Description: bacterial LSU rRNA
Rfam family: Bacterial large subunit ribosomal RNA
Source: RNAcentral
UUAAGCGACUAAGCGUACACGGUGGAUGCCCUGGCAGUCAGAGGCGAUGAAGGACGUGCUAAUCUGCGAUAAGCGUCGGUAAGGUGAUAUGAACCGUUAUAACCGGCGAUUUCCGAAUGGGGAAACCCAGUGUGAUUCGUCACACUAUCAUUAACUGAAUCCAUAGGUUAAUGAGGCGAACCGGGGGAACUGAAACAUCUAAGUACCCCGAGGAAAAGAAAUCAACCGAGAUUCCCCCAGUAGCGGCGAGCGAACGGGGAGCAGCCCAGAGCCUGAAUCAGUGUGUGUGUUAGUGGAAGCGUCUGGAAAGGCGCGCGAUACAGGGUGACAGCCCCGUACACAAAAAUGCACAUGCUGUGAGCUCGAUGAGUAGGGCGGGACACGUGGUAUCCUGUCUGAAUAUGGGGGGACCAUCCUCCAAGGCUAAAUACUCCUGACUGACCGAUAGUGAACCAGUACCGUGAGGGAAAGGCGAAAAGAACCCCGGCGAGGGGAGUGAAAAAGAACCUGAAACCGUGUACGUACAAGCAGUGGGAGCACAGAGCAAUCUGUGUGACUGCGUACCUUUUGUAUAAUGGGUCAGCGACUUAUAUUCUGUAGCAAGGUUAACCGAAUAGGGGAGCCGAAGGGAAACCGAGUCUUAACUGGGCGUUAAGUUGCAGGGUAUAGACCCGAAACCCGGUGAUCUAGCCAUGGGCAGGUUGAAGGUUGGGUAACACUAACUGGAGGACCGAACCGACUAAUGUUGAAAAAUUAGCGGAUGACUUGUGGCUGGGGGUGAAAGGCCAAUCAAACCGGGAGAUAGCUGGUUCUCCCCGAAAGCUAUUUAGGUAGCGCCUCGUGAAUUCAUCUCCGGGGGUAGAGCACUGUUUCGGCAAGGGGGUCAUCCCGACUUACCAACCCGAUGCAAACUGCGAAUACCGGAGAAUGUUAUCACGGGAGACACACGGCGGGUGCUAACGUCCGUCGUGAAGAGGGAAACAACCCAGACCGCCAGCUAAGGUCCCAAAGUCAUGGUUAAGUGGGAAACGAUGUGGGAAGGCCCAGACAGCCAGGAUGUUGGCUUAGAAGCAGCCAUCAUUUAAAGAAAGCGUAAUAGCUCACUGGUCGAGUCGGCCUGCGCGGAAGAUGUAACGGGGCUAAACCAUGCACCGAAGCUGCGGCAGCGACGCUUAUGCGUUGUUGGGUAGGGGAGCGUUCUGUAAGCCUGUGAAGGUGUGCUGUGAGGCAUGCUGGAGGUAUCAGAAGUGCGAAUGCUGACAUAAGUAACGAUAAAGCGGGUGAAAAGCCCGCUCGCCGGAAGACCAAGGGUUCCUGUCCAACGUUAAUCGGGGCAGGGUGAGUCGACCCCUAAGGCGAGGCCGAAAGGCGUAGUCGAUGGGAAACAGGUUAAUAUUCCUGUACUUGGUGUUACUGCGAAGGGGGGACGGAGAAGGCUAUGUUGGCCGGGCGACGGUUGUCCCGGUUUAAGCGUGUAGGCUGGUUUUCCAGGCAAAUCCGGAAAAUCAAGGCUGAGGCGUGAUGACGAGGCACUACGGUGCUGAAGCAACAAAUGCCCUGCUUCCAGGAAAAGCCUCUAAGCAUCAGGUAACAUCAAAUCGUACCCCAAACCGACACAGGUGGUCAGGUAGAGAAUACCAAGGCGCUUGAGAGAACUCGGGUGAAGGAACUAGGCAAAAUGGUGCCGUAACUUCGGGAGAAGGCACGCUGAUAUGUAGGUGAAGUCCCUCGCGGAUGGAGCUGAAAUCAGUCGAAGAUACCAGCUGGCUGCAACUGUUUAUUAAAAACACAGCACUGUGCAAACACGAAAGUGGACGUAUACGGUGUGACGCCUGCCCGGUGCCGGAAGGUUAAUUGAUGGGGUCAGCGCAAGCGAAGCUCUUGAUCGAAGCCCCGGUAAACGGCGGCCGUAACUAUAACGGUCCUAAGGUAGCGAAAUUCCUUGUCGGGUAAGUUCCGACCUGCACGAAUGGCGUAAUGAUGGCCAGGCUGUCUCCACCCGAGACUCAGUGAAAUUGAACUCGCUGUGAAGAUGCAGUGUACCCGCGGCAAGACGGAAAGACCCCGUGAACCUUUACUAUAGCUUGACACUGAACAUUGAGCCUUGAUGUGUAGGAUAGGUGGGAGGCUUUGAAGUGUGGACGCCAGUCUGCAUGGAGCCGACCUUGAAAUACCACCCUUUAAUGUUUGAUGUUCUAACGUUGACCCGUGAUCCGGGUUGCGGACAGUGUCUGGUGGGUAGUUUGACUGGGGCGGUCUCCUCCUAAAGAGUAACGGAGGAGCACGAAGGUUGGCUAAUCCUGGUCGGACAUCAGGAGGUUAGUGCAAUGGCAUAAGCCAGCUUGACUGCGAGCGUGACGGCGCGAGCAGGUGCGAAAGCAGGUCAUAGUGAUCCGGUGGUUCUGAAUGGAAGGGCCAUCGCUCAACGGAUAAAAGGUACUCCGGGGAUAACAGGCUGAUACCGCCCAAGAGUUCAUAUCGACGGCGGUGUUUGGCACCUCGAUGUCGGCUCAUCACAUCCUGGGGCUGAAGUAGGUCCCAAGGGUAUGGCUGUUCGCCAUUUAAAGUGGUACGCGAGCUGGGUUUAGAACGUCGUGAGACAGUUCGGUCCCUAUCUGCCGUGGGCGCUGGAGAACUGAGGGGGGCUGCUCCUAGUACGAGAGGACCGGAGUGGACGCAUCACUGGUGUUCGGGUUGUCAUGCCAAUGGCACUGCCCGGUAGCUAAAUGCGGAAGAGAUAAGUGCUGAAAGCAUCUAAGCACGAAACUUGCCCCGAGAUGAGUUCUCCCUGACUCCUUGAGAGUCCUGAAGGAACGUUGAAGACGACGACGUUGAUAGGCCGGGUGUGUAAGCGCAGCGAUGCGUUGAGCUAACCGGUACUAAUGAACCGUGAGGCUUAACCUU